AAAUCGAGGGUGAGAAACCCUCGCGCCGGAUGACCAAGGGUUCCUGGGGCAGGCUAAUCCGCCCAGGGUAAGUCGGGACCUAAGGCGAGGCCGACAGGCGUAGUCGAUGGACAACGGGUUGAUAUUCCCGUACCCGCUUCAAUGCGCCCAUAUCGAACCUCGUGAUGCUAAGAGUCCUUAAGUCCCCUGAUGUCCUUCGGGACUAGGGGUGAGGCUGAACGCUCGAUCCGAUCGGGUAGUAGGUAAGCGAUGGGGUGACGCAGGAAGGUAGUCCAGCCCAGGCGAUGGUUGUCCUGGGGUAAGCAUGUAGGGAGCGAGGUAGGUAAAUCCGCCUCGUAUAUAUCCUGAGAUGUGAUGCCGAGCCGAUUGUGGUGAAGUGGAUGAUCCUAUGCUGCCGAGAAAAGCCUCUAGUGAGUGUUGUGGCGGCCCGUACCCUAAACCGACUCAGGUGGUCAGGUAGAGAAUACCAAGGCGAUCGGGUGAACUGUGGUUAAGGAACUCGGCAAAUUGCCCCCGUAACUUCGGGAGAAGGGGGACCUCUGCUGGUGAUGGGCUUUACGUUCUGAGCUGGUGGGGGUCGCAGUGGCCAGGGGGAAGCGACUGUUUACUAAAAAUACAGGUCCGUGCGAAGUCGUAAGACGAUGUAUACGGACUGACGCCUGCCCGGUGCCGGAACGUUAAGGGGACCGCUUAGCCAACGCGAGUUGGCGAAGGUGAGAACUUAAGCGCCGGUAAACGGCGGUGGUAACUAUAACCAUCCUAAGGUAGCGAAAUUCCUUGUCGGGUAAGUUCCGACCUGCACGAAUGGCGUAACGACUUCCCCGCUGUCUCAACCACAGACCCGGCGAAAUUGCACUACGAGUAAAGAUGCUCGUUUCGCGCAGCAGGACGGAAAGACCCCGGGACCUUCACUACAGCUUGACAUUGGCGUUUGGAACGUCUUGUGUAGGAUAGGUGGGAGACUGGGAAGCUGUCACGCUAGUGAUGGUGGAGUCAUUGGUGAAAUACCACUCUGGUCGUUUUGAACGUCUAACUCUGGUCCGUGAUCCGGAUCGGGGACAGUGUCUGGUGGGUAGUUUAACUGGGGCGGUUGCCUCCUAAAGAGUAACGGAGGCGCCCAAAGGUUCCCUCAGCCUGGUUGGCAAUCAGGUGUUGAGUGUAAGUGCACAAGGGAGCUUGACUGUGAGACUGACAGGUCGAACAGGAGCGAAAGCUGGGACUAGUGAUCCGGCAUCGGCGUGUGGAAGCGGUGUCGCUCAACGGCUAAAAGGUACCCCGGGGAUAACAGGCUGAUCUUCCCCAAGAGUCCAUAUCGACGGGAUGGUUUGGCACCUCGAUGUCGGCUCGUCGCAUCCUGGGGCUGGAGUAGGUCCCAAGGGUUGGGCUGUUCGCCCAUUAAAGCGGUACGCGAGCUGGGUUUAGAACGUCGCGAGACAGUUCGGUCCCUAUCCGCUGCGCGCGCAGGAGACUUGAAGGGGGCUGUCCCUAUUACGAGAGGACCGGGACGGACGAACCUCUGGUGUGCCAGUUGUACCGCCAGGUGCACGGCUGGUUGGCUACGUUCGGAAGGGAUAACCGCUGAAAGCAUCUAAGCGGGAAGCUCGCCUUGAGAUGAGGUCUCCCACCCUGUGAGGGGGUAAGGCUCCCGGUAGAUCACCGGGUUGAUAGGCCGGAGGUGGAAGCACGGUAACGUGUGGAGCUGACCGGUACUAAUAGGCCGAGGACUUGACC
This 1731-nucleotide ribosomal RNA is filed under the name metagenome. Its description in RNAcentral is "bacterial LSU rRNA". It matches the Rfam family "Bacterial large subunit ribosomal RNA", at positions 1312 to 2925 of the family's 2925-position model. The record is from RNAcentral.